This 378-nucleotide ribosomal RNA is filed under the name uncultured eukaryote. RNAcentral's name for it is "partial 18S ribosomal RNA". It matches the Rfam family "Eukaryotic small subunit ribosomal RNA", at positions 592 to 976 of the family's 1831-position model. The record is from RNAcentral.
CAAUAGCGUAUAUUUAAGUUGUUGCAGUUAAAAAGCUCGUAGUUGGAUUUCGGGUGGGACGCAGCGGUCUCGCAUUGCGUUUGUACUGCUGCAGCCCUCCUUCUUGCCGGGGGCGGCCUCUCGGACUUCACUGUCUGGGGGUCAGCAUCGGCGAUGUUACUUUGAGUAAAUUAGAGUGUUCAAAGCAAGCUUACGCUCUGAAUAUAAUAGCAUGGGAUAACACGACAGGACUCUGGCCUAUCGUGUUGGUCUAUAGGACCAGAGUAAUGAUUAAGAGGGACAGUCGGGGGCAUUCGUAUUCCGUUGUCAGAGGUGAAAUUCUUGGAUUUACGGAAGACGAACAUCUGCGAAAGCAUUUGCCAAGGAUGUUUUCAUUGA